GUUCCAAAUUGCUGUUUCAAUUCAGAUACAUGAACUUGGCAUGGCGCACAGAUCACAUCCUCUACCCUGACAGGCCUAAAUGCCCAUUCUAAUGACAGAUGAACAACAAAUAAAACAAAAACAGAGCAAUGAUACAGCAAUAGAACCCCCUGCCAUGAUAUUUGCUUGCUUUUGCAAAUCGAUCAUCUGCAUUAGAUGUUUCUUGAUCUUCUUCAGUUCCUCGGUCAGUUUGGACCCCGCAUGCAGUUCAUCAUUGCGCGCAUACAUCGCCAUCGGCACGACUCUGCCCGCCCCUCCGCCAAAGCUCCCCAUAUUCUCCAUAGCAAUCGGCGGCACCCCGCCCAAAUUGAGCUCCCAGGUUGCGGCCACGCUCAAAUCCUAUCAAACUAAAUCCUAUCAACAUAUUCAUCAAUCCACUUGAAAUGGUAACAUUUCUUCAGGAUCUGAAAACCACAAUAUGAACCCUAAAUCCCAAAUUCAAGGAGAAAAAACAAAAUAUGGAGAAAUCAGAGCAAAAGACAGCAAAAGAACGGGCUUAGAACUGAGAUCUAACCUUGCCAUCCCUUCCGGCCAUUGGUUUGCUCAAGCAUUUCACAAAUUCCCGUCCAAGAUUGCCAUUAUCAUCCUUCUUAGUGACCAACCGUUUAAGAGGCUCUGGGCAUGGGCAGUCAGGGCACCUUGUGAGCAGCAUUGGAUCAUACUGUCGCCAUUUUGAGUGCAUGGCGGAGGAGAUAGACAUUUGCGCUAGGUCGUCGGAGAAGAGAAAGAUUGGGGAAAGGGGCUGAAUGGGCGGCGGCGGGCGGACGGGUACGGGCGCUCGUCUCUUCUAGCUGCGAGGAGGUGGGUCCCGCGAGUAGACAAGUGGUGUGUCCCGCGCUUACGUGGAUUAGUGGUGGGUCCAGCCCCCAACAGCUAAUGAGGGCAUCAGUUGAGUUUAACAACCAUGUCAUGCAUGGGCUAUUUACCUGCUCAAAAUUGUCGCACCACAGCAAUUCGCUCGAACAACGUCGCACUCUUGCCAAUUCACCUCAAAUGUGUUGCACAGGAGCUAUAAGCCCAUAGUUAAUCGCACUUUGGGUCGUUCCCGAUCUGAAUUUUAAAAUUCACUUUGAGGGGCGGAGCAGGGGUUGUAUAUGCAAACUGCGCCGACGUGCUGAUGAACAGGUUGGGUCUAAACCAACAGUUCAGAAAAUCACCACGGCUUGGCAGGUUCUUAGUUUACUGACUUUAUAAUGAGAUGAGAUCACAAAGAACCCAAAUACUUCAGAGUGCAUGCGCACUAUCUAGGCAGAACGAGCGGCCGAACACAAGCCGCUCGAUCAGCCCAGAUCGUGCGGUCCUCGGCGUCAGGUCGUACCUGGUCAGGAGGUGACCAAACACGCACGUGGCUGGGCCCGCCCGCAAGCGCCGCUCUCCUGCUCCAGACGGUUUGCGUCGCGUAGGAAGCACCCUUGCCACGGGCCUCUGUCUACUUCCUCUCUUCUCGCCCUGUUCUUUCCCCAAAUCCGACGACGAGAGACAACCGCUGCCGCGACGCAGCCGAAGACGGGGGGCAGGGAAGGGGAAGGGCUGGAGCGCGGUGGGGACCCGCUUCUCGUCGCCGGCGUAGGUACGGUCGCCCAUUCGGCUGCUCCCUGCCCAACCAGAUCCAGCCCCAUCGUCCUUGUUCCCCGCCGUCGUCGACGGGAUGCGGCCGUCGUCUACUUCCUCUGCCCGAGGGAUGGAAACGUCGGCACUGGAGUCGUGGCCGUGGCGGGGAAGGCGAACCCAGCGCAGCUCUGCCAGUGGCUCAAGAGGAAGAUAAGCAAGGAUGUCAAGAUUUUCCGCCGUUGUCCAAACGGGCUGAGAAUUGUAAUAAGCAGGUAUGCAUCCCUCUUGUCUACUUGUACUGCAGAAUGAAGGACGAUGUGUGUAAUAUCCAAAUGAAUGCACGUUAUUACGAAGGGCUAGCCGUGUGGGGUUAAGGUGCUCGCCGGCGGCGACCUGCGUGGCUCUCGGCCUGCAUCCUCGCUGAACUCAACACCAACUAUCGCGCGCCCGCGAUGUGACUGCUGUUGCAACAACGACGGCCAACGGCUAUUGAACGACGAGGAUGCCCUUCGGGGGUUAUAGCAUGCAAAGCAAAGAAGUUGCUCGAUACUCACAGCCAAUAUAUCUCCCUGUAGAAGCAGAAGAAGCAGCAAUUGAUUCAUAAGCAACAAUUUUAUCUGUUUCGUUCCUUUGUAUUUUUGCCCUCUGUUUCUACUGAUUGUAUGUAUCACUUUUUCAGAUAUAUUGAUCUUCACAUUCUUAGUUGGCAUCCGUAGUGGUUGUAGUUGUACACAUAGCAGUUCUUGGUUGGAUACGACAAUUAGAAAGUUGCACAACACUAAACCUUUUUCCUACGGCGGUGAAAGUGGAACGGAAUACAUUGAACUGAAUACACAUGGUGAUCAUUUUUUUGGCAUUUAUAGUAAUUCUUGUUACACACAUAGUUGUUUUCGUCGGAGACGAUCAUUACUAUAGUAGUUGUAGUUGCACAUACAGUUGUUCUCAGUUGGAUCCUAUUAUUGAAAAAUUGCACACAUGGCAAUCAUUUUUUGUUUGCAUCUAUAGUAGUUCUAGUUGCACACAUAGUUGUUUUCAGUUGGACACGAUCAUUGGAAAAUUACACACACGGCGAUCAAUUUUGGGUGGCAUCUAUAGUCGUUCUAGUUGCACACAUAGUUGUUUUCAGUUGGAUACGGUCAUUGGAAAGCUGCACACACGGUGAUAAUUUUUUGUUGGCAUCUAUAGUAGUUCUAGUUGCAUACAUAGUUGUUUUCAGUUGGACACGGUCAUUGGAAGUAGUUGGCAGGGGCAAUAGAAGUAGUUGCACAGAAUCUGCUAGGCAAAACUUUAUGGUGGCGAAAGAUUCCUCUUAGUAAAUCUGCAGAGAAGAAAUGUGCGCGCGAAGGCAGUAUCCAAAGGGGUAGAUGCCACAUCUUCUGCAGCAGCCGCUGUGGUAACAUAAAGUUCUAUCAUGAAUACUUUUUACUCCACAUACAGGCAGCCAAGUGUAUGAAUUUUCAUACAUGGUUGCAGAAGGACUAAUUAAGCAUUGGCAUGCUCUACUUUCUCAGUUGCUCAACGUUGCCAUCUUCAAGUUUUUUAGAAUUGUCCCAAGAGUAUGUAACGACUUGGCAUCCUCUGGCUUUCUAGUUGCAGAAUAAUAUCUAAUUAGUUGGCAACCUCGGUAAUUCUAAUUGCACAACAAUAACUAGUUGACAUCCUCAUCUUCUCUAGUUGCACAAGAACUCAGAUUAGUUCCAUCUUAAAAAAAAUGAGGAUUUCCCUACAGUAUGUAGCGACUUGACACCCUUAGGCUUUCUAGUUGCAGAAGAGUAUCUAUUUAGUUGGCACCCUCGGCAAUUCUAGUUGGACAAUAUUAUCCAAGUAGUUGACAUGCUCAGCCUCUCUAGUUGCACAAGAAUUCAGAUUAAUCCCAUCUUAAAAAAUUUGAGGAUUGCCCAACGGUAUCUAAUCACUUGGCACCCUCAGGCUUUCUACUUGCAGAAGAUUAUCUAUUUAGUUGGCACCCUCUACAAUUCUAGUUGGACAACAUUAUCCAAGUAGUUGGCAUCCUCAGCCUCUCUAGUUGCACAAAAAUAUCUCAUUAGUUGGCAUCAUCAGCAUUUCUAGUCGCACAAGAAUAUCUCAUUAGUUGUCAUCACCAGCAUUUCUAGUUGCAGAACAAACAGGAUAUCAAGUUGCCAUCCUCAACAUUUUAAUCUAGUUUUCCAGAGAACAAAUAUUUGUAUGUAAUGAUAACUAAUCACCUUUGCCUUUUUUUUGCAAACCCCGAGAUAUUGUUCCAGGAAAUGAGAGUAAUGAAGCAUAUAAUGUUGAACGAUAGUCACAAGCUGGCUACCUGAUGGAGACUACGCUGGAUACCUGAUGUUUGAGUUGGAUAGAAUACAUGUUUUAGUUGGCUAUAAUACAUGGGUACCUGCACACAACCUUGUGUAUGCUUGUUGCACACAUCCAGGGGAAAGUUGGCUAUUUAACCAUGUUUAGUUGCACAGGGAACUACAUCAACCUUUUUUCUACUAUGAUGCAUUUUUUCACCCGUGGAUAUGUUUGUUUGCACACAUCCAUGUGAAAGUUGGUUUGAAACCAUGGUUUUCUUGCACAGGGAACUGAAUUUCUUAUGCUUUUACUUGAUCUUCCUUCUCAAAAUCAUGGAGUUUUUUUUACUUGAUUUGGGAGAUUUAGAGGGAAAGGGCAAGGGAGAUAGUCAACAAGGUUUGCACAUGGGAGAGGAGAAGGAUUUCUUACCUUGGCGUUGCUUGGUAAGCUUCUCUUCUCUUCUUCCUGUUUUUCUGACCAAGAUCUCCUCACCUUGGCUGCUUUGCCAUGGCAGCUCUACAGGAUCUGGUUCAUGGCAUUGGAUCUGGUUUCUUUCAUGGGGAAGAAGCUGACGACCAGCGAGGGAGAGAGGGUGGGUGAGAGGGGCGUGGGGUGCGCUAGUAGUUUGAUGGGUAUCACGUGACAACGAC
Molecule: ribosomal RNA, 4517 nt
Filed under: Triticum aestivum (bread wheat)
Lineage: Eukaryota; Viridiplantae; Streptophyta; Magnoliopsida; Poales; Poaceae
Description: partial small subunit ribosomal RNA
Source: RNAcentral